RNAcentral lists this long non-coding RNA (1102 nucleotides) under Coturnix japonica (Japanese quail). RNAcentral describes it as "lncRNA (ENSCJPG00005002827.1)". Lineage: Eukaryota; Metazoa; Chordata; Aves; Galliformes; Phasianidae. The record is from RNAcentral.
UAGAAGAGUGGGAGUGUGGUUAAUAGAGGGUGAAGCCCCACCCCCAAUAUGUGAGGACAUGGGGGGGGUGUUAAACACUGUGUCACCCCCCCCCAGUACGCCCAGGCCUUGGCUGAAUUCAUCCGGAGCCAAAGCAUCCGAGAGCUCAAAGUGUGGACCAGCCAGCUGAAGAGAACAAUCCAGACGGCUGAAGCUCUGGGGGUGCCCUAUGAGCAGUGGAAGGCCCUCAAUGAGAUAGAUGCGGUGAGGGAUUUAAGGGGGGGGGUCUCCAAAUAGCCCCCUGUACCAUUUAAAUGCCCUCAAUGAGUGUCAGUCUGGAAGGGGGGGGUCUCCAAAUAGCCCCCCUGUACCUCUUAAAGGCCAUCAAUGAGUGUCAGUCUGGAAGGGGGGGGUCUCCAAAGUAGCCCCCUGCAGCUCCUAAAGGCCAUCAAUGAGUGUCAGUCUGGAAGGGGGGGGGUCUCCAAAUAGCCCCCUGUACCAUUUAAAGGCCCUCAAUGCGUGUCAGUCUGGAAAGGGGGGGGGUCUCCAAAUAGCCCCCUAUCCUCCUAAAGGCCAUCAAUGAGUGUCAGUCUGGAAAGGGGGGGGGUCUCCAAAUAGCCCCCUAUCCUCCUAAAGGCCAUCAAUGAGAUCUAUGUAUUGUCAGCCUGGGAGAGGGGGAGUCUCCAAAUAGCCCCCCUGUAGCUCCUAAAGGCCAUCAAUUAGAUUGAUGUGGUGAGUGUAUGACUUUAAGGGGGUGAGGGGGGAGUCUCCAAAUAGCCCCUGUAGCUCCUAAAGGCCAUCAAUGAGUGUCAGUCUGAAAGGGGGGGGUCUCCAAAUAGCCCCCUAUCCUCCUAAAGGCCAUCAAUGAGUGUCAGUCUGGAAGGGGGGGGGUGUCCAAAUAGCCCCCUGUAGCUCCUAAAGGCCCUCAAUGAAUGUCAGUCUGGAAGGGGGGGGUCUCCAAAUAGCCCCCUGUAGCUCCUAAAGGCCCUCAAUGAGUGUCAGUCUGGAAGGGGGGGGGGUCUCCAAAUAGCCCCCUGUAGCUCCUAAAGGCCCCAAUGAGUGGUGUGGGGAUGGUAGGGGUCCGAUGCUGUCAGGGUGUGCAGUGUGUUCUGUGGGUUAUAUU